Molecule: long non-coding RNA, 1042 nt
Organism: Oryzias melastigma (Indian medaka)
Lineage: Eukaryota; Metazoa; Chordata; Actinopteri; Beloniformes; Adrianichthyidae
Exons: 2
Source: RefSeq, a predicted model, not a curated record
CGAAUCAUCAGGAAAUGCUCCAACUUGCUCACCUGCAUGUUUUCUUCUUCCAGCACAGGGGACUUCUUGGGGAAGAUCUGAUUGGCCUGGAUGCACUCCAGACUCUGCUGCCCCUCCUCCUCCUGCAGGGAACCAACAUCAAGACUUCUGUUCUGACUGGCUCCUGUUAAAAACCACCAGAUGUUUUGCUGCUUCAUCAGCUGAAACUAAAAGUUACGUGGAGAAGAUUAGCGGAAGGGACUGCAGGGGGGUGUUGUGUUUGUUUUCCUUGCGUACACAAGACGGAAGUGGAGAGGUCCAAAAAAUAUAACCAAAACGAGAACUAAUAAGUAUAAAUAGUUACAUUUUGUUUGCAACAGAAAAUUUUAAUCUCAAAACUGUGACUUUUGCUUCCAAUAUGGUGGCACAAAAAUCACCAUACCAAACAGCUUUGGAGAAAACCAGGCUAAAAUUCAGCUGUUAUGAACUUUGUGCUACUAAUAUAUCAUUUCCUCGGCCAAUGGUCAUUCAAUUUUGUGUUGCAUCAUUUUGUUUGGAUUUUAAUUAACAAUCACACAAUGGCUUUCUGAAUUUGAACAAAAAAAGGGUUGUUUUGGAGGUUUGAUUUCUUCAGACCUGUGUUUAAAAACGUGGCUCAGUGAGAGGAUCUCCAACGUUAGGAUGAAACGGAUCCAGUUCCCUAAGAAAGAACAAUGGUGAACUCUGAGAGGACCUGGCAGCUACUUCAGGCAUCCCCAGAAAAACUCAAAGAAACCUGAGAUCCAAAGUUCAUACUCAACCACUCCCUUCUUGUUUUAUGACACCUCUUUUCAAAUGUUGAUUUUUUUUGUUUACCUGCAGGUGUGCAGUGAUUUCAGCGUGUUAAGACUCGUGUUUGUAUGCAAUCUUUCAGCUUUUUUGAAAACAGUAAGUCAAUAAAACUACCUGUAUGCAGAAGUUACUUUACUGCCACCCAAACAUAAUAAUUUUCAUGUAAACGUUUGGUUUUGAGUAAUUUAUAAUUAGAAAACUUCUUAAACAAGAAGCACAGAAAAAUAAAAAA